UACGGAGGAUCCGAGCGUUAUCCGGAUUUAUUGGGUUUAAAGGGUGCGUAGGCGGGCUAAUAAGUCAGUGGUGAAAGUUUGCAGCUUAACUGUAAAAUUGCCAUUGAAACUGUUAGUCUUGAGUACAGUAGAGGUAGGCGGAAUGUGUAGUGUAGCGGUGAAAUGCAUAGAUAUUACACAGAACACCAAUUGCGUAGGCAGCUUACUGGAGUGUCACUGACGCUGAGGCACGAUAGCGUGGGGAUCAAACAGG
RNAcentral lists this ribosomal RNA (253 nucleotides) under uncultured prokaryote. RNAcentral's name for it is "partial 16S ribosomal RNA". It matches the Rfam family "Bacterial small subunit ribosomal RNA", at positions 524 to 776 of the family's 1533-position model. The record is from RNAcentral.